UACAGAGGGUGCGAGCGUUGUUCGGAAUUAUUGGGCGUAAAGCGCGUGUAGGCGGCUUUGCAAGUCGGGUGUGAAAGCCCUCAGCUCAACUGAGGAAGUGCGCCCGAAACUGCAGAGCUUGAGUGCCGGAGAGGGUGGCGGAAUUCCCCAAGUAGAGGUGAAAUUCGUAGAUAUGGGGAGGAACACCGGUGGCGAAGGCGGCCACCUGGACGGUAACUGACGCUGAGACGCGAAAGCGUGGGGAGCGAACAGG
This 253-nucleotide ribosomal RNA is filed under the name uncultured bacterium. RNAcentral describes it as "partial 16S ribosomal RNA". It matches the Rfam family "Bacterial small subunit ribosomal RNA", at positions 524 to 776 of the family's 1533-position model. The record is from RNAcentral.